Molecule: ribosomal RNA, 483 nt
Filed under: uncultured bacterium
Lineage: Bacteria
Description: partial 16S ribosomal RNA
Rfam family: Bacterial small subunit ribosomal RNA
Source: RNAcentral
GACGAACGCUGGCGGCGUGCCUAACACAUGCAAGUCGAGCGGGGAUUUAAGUGGAAGUUCUUCGGAAUGGAGAUUUAAAUUCUAGCGGCGGACGGGUGAGUAACGCGUGAACAAUCUGUCCCGGACAGGGGGAUAACACUUGGAAACAGGUGCUAAUACCGCAUAAGACCACGGCCUCGCAUGGGGCUGCGGUAAAAGGAGCAAUCCGGUUCGGGGUGAGUUCGCGUCCGAUUAGCUAGUUGGUGAGGUAACGGCCCACCAAGGCGACGAUCGGUAGCCGGCCUGAGAGGGUGAGCGGCCACAUUUGAACUGAGAGACGGUCCAAACGCCUACGGGAGGCAGCAGUGGGGAAUAUUGGGCAAUGGGCGAAAGCCUGACCCAGCAACGCCGCGUGAGGGAAGAAGGUUUUCGGAGUGUAAACCUCUGUCCUAUGGGACGAAGGAAGUGACGGUACCAUAGGAGGAAGCCCCGGCUAACUACGUG